Long non-coding RNA from Scophthalmus maximus (turbot), 1313 nucleotides. RefSeq lists it as uncharacterized. The transcript has 2 exons. The record is from RefSeq and is a predicted model, not a curated record. NCBI's taxonomy places the organism in Eukaryota, Metazoa, Chordata, Actinopteri, Pleuronectiformes, Scophthalmidae.
AGGAGGAGCGCCGCAGCCUGGUCCUGCUGGGGUCGCCUGUGAAGCGAACCUCCAUGUUCUGCAGUUUGGACAGACACCAGCUCUUCAGUUCACUCACCAGAGACACCUGCUCAACAGACAAGACAACGACAAGGCGCUCCUGCAGGGCCCGCUGCUCCAUCCUCUGCAGACACUCGCUCCUCUCCGCCGACACCCGCUCCACGGUCAACUUGUCAAGGGCCAACAUCUGACCGCAGCAACACACAGGGACGUCUGUUCACUGUUACAUGUCCUGUACCUCUGUUGUUUAUCGGUAAUAAUUCUUACACAUUACGGUGUGGGAGCAUUAAAAGACACAUAUAUAGUAUAUAGUCGUAGGGUUCAUCUAUGUGGUCGCUUCAGAGAGUAUGUUCCACACUUGGUGUGUGUGUAAACUUUGUCCUUCCAGCUCUCAGAGCUUUAUCUGUCAGGAUUCUGUAUAAACAUCAUUUUUGUUUUGUCCUCCCUCAUUCCAGGAUCUGUUGAAAUUCCCAUGUCCCUUUUCUUGUGUGUAACUCCUCCGUCUGUUGAUCUGAUCUCUUAUGUCUUACAGUAAGUUGUGGGAGAGUGUGUCAUGAAUGGGGCUGCUACUGUAAUGUUUACAGUGCUGAGGGAAUAGAACCUCUGAGCCAUGAAGUGUUGGAGCUGUGUCAUUUCUGUUCAGCAAUAAAGGGCCACGACGAAAAAGGCUUUUGUAAAAUGUCAACUGAAGAUGUUUACAGUAAGUACUGUAUGUCGAGGGCCUGUACCCAUCAUACACUGUGUUACAGUUUCAACCUGUACCAACAACAAGUUAAACUAAGUUACCUACUACAGGUUAGAUGUGCUAACAUCCGAUUAGAGUGAGUCCGUGGUACUUUUGUGUUUUAUUUAGGGCUUCAGCUAAAGAUAAUUUUCAAUCAGUCUAAUAGAAAUACAAUUAGAGUUUGUUGCCGCUCUGGCUUUAAUCCUUACGAAUUCAGGUUUUAAUUUGUAAAAGAAAGAUAGUGUCAUUCAAUGGCGUUGCUUUAAAUCUCCUCUUGAUAGUUUAUAAAUAUUUGAUCUGUAAUUUGAGUCGUAGGUCAUGAGUGAGGGAAUAAGACUGAGGAGCUGUAAAUAACUGCAAUUACUGUAUAUAAAAAAUUAGUAGAGAAGGAAAUUUGAGUCGACUCUGAUCACAUGUAAUUACAAUGUAUUAUGAACCUAAACCGUUCUGUGCUGCGAGUUCAAAGUUUGGUCAUUUCCCUUGUGGCCAAAAAGAGAACGGUGAUGAACAUGAGUGCUGAACCGAAAAAAAUAUAACAUUCUUAUCAAAA